This 444-nucleotide ribosomal RNA is filed under the name uncultured prokaryote. RNAcentral's name for it is "partial 16S ribosomal RNA". It matches the Rfam family "Bacterial small subunit ribosomal RNA", at positions 355 to 796 of the family's 1533-position model. The record is from RNAcentral.
UAAGGAAUAUUGGUCAAUGGGCGAGAGCCUGAACCAGCCAUGCCGCGUGCAGGAUGACUGCCCUAUGGGUUGUAAACUGCUUUUAUCAGGGAAGAAGAGACUGGAUUUAUCUGGUUGUGACGGUACCUGAGGAAUAAGCACCGGCUAACUCCGUGCCAGCAGCCGCGGUAAUACGGAGGGUGCAAGCGUUAUCCGGAAUCACUGGGUUUAAAGGGUGCGUAGGCGGCAUAAUAAGUCAGAGGUGAAAGCUCUCAGCCUAACUGAGAAAUUGCCUUUGAAACUGUUAAGCUUGAGUUUGGGAGAGGUAGGCGGAAUGUGGCAUGUAGCGGUGAAAUGCAUAGAUAUGCCAUAGAACACCAAUUGCGAAGGCAGCUUACUAUACCAUAACUGACGCUGAGGCACGAAAGCGUGGGUAGCGAACAGGAUUAGAUACCCCCGUAGUCC